Molecule: long non-coding RNA, 305 nt
Organism: Amphimedon queenslandica
Lineage: Eukaryota; Metazoa; Porifera; Demospongiae; Haplosclerida; Niphatidae
Exons: 2
Source: RefSeq, a predicted model, not a curated record
ACAUCUAACCAGCCAUUCAUUGAAGACAAAUGAAUUCCUUCACUAAUGGUAGUAAGCGAACAGCUUCUUCAUGAUCUCCAUUCUCAAACGCAUCCCAACACUUGCGCUCUAACGACAUCUUGUGAUCAGUUAAUUAGAUUCAUUGAUACCCGCCCAUACAUUAGGAGUCCUGCCCACAUACCAAAGUGCAAACCAGAUUGCUUCAUUUUAAUUCGACUAUAGUAGUACAAACCACAAAAUGAACAAAAAUUUUAGUGACAAAAAGUUGCAUUCGACUUAGUAUACACUAUCAGCUAUCCCAUUUA